UGCCUAGAGCGCAGAUGUUAUUUACCGUUAAAUUGGGUGGGAGGAUGAAUAUGUGUGGUGAAUUGGAAAGGCUGAGAAGGAAGUGACAGUGACCUAUUUCAAGUCAAAACCCGUCAUUUUUCUUGAUGAACCGAAGAAAACGAAAACGUCUAAGCUGAAUAGCUGCUGCUCUGAGUACGAUUCGAAUCGGAUACUUCCAUUAACAAGUCACCCGUGAAGCGUAACCGCUGUUUCAACAUGGUAAUUUUCUGCAUCCUAUUGUUACCACCGCUCUCUGAUGUCCAAAUACUCUACUCAGCAUCCUUUACACAAAACACUCAUCAGUUAUGGACUUCCCUUCGGUUGACAGAGCACCAAUGACAUUAAUAUAAACAAAAGCUUUCAUUGCUGCUGAGGAGAAGAUACCACAGACGGACGAGGCAAGAUACGGUCUUGCACGAGUGAGCAGGACUGUGGGGCCGAUAGCAGUAACCUUCGCGGCGCUCUGUCUGCCCCAGCGCCCAAGGAAGUGUGUCGAAGAAGGGGGUUCCUGCUCCCUCAGCAUCCAGCUUCCAGCUCCAGAGCCCCUUUUAACUCGCAGUGCGAGCGGGCCAAUCCAAACCUAUCAACUACA
Non-coding RNA from Zootermopsis nevadensis, 613 nucleotides. Lineage: Eukaryota; Metazoa; Arthropoda; Insecta; Blattodea; Termopsidae. The record is from RefSeq and is a predicted model, not a curated record.